AAGUCGUAACAAGGUUUCCGUAGGUGAACCUGCGGAAGGAUCAUUACCAAAUCCAAAUUCUUAACCCCAUGUGAACUAUUGUUUUAGUCUGUCUUUGGGAGAAGGGAAAUUUAUUUUUUCUUCUCCCAAUAGAGUCCGGCAUAACUUUAUUGUUGUGUCCAGAUUCGAAAAAACAAAACCAUAAACCACUUGAUUUUCUGUUGGAAUUACUUUUAUUAAUUUAUAAAUAAAAGACAACUUUUAACGGCGGAUCUCUUGGCUCGU
RNAcentral lists this unclassified non-coding RNA (264 nucleotides) under fungal sp. RNAcentral describes it as "partial internal transcribed spacer region". The stretch from base 1 to 46 matches the Rfam family "Eukaryotic small subunit ribosomal RNA", at positions 1786 to 1831 of the family's 1831-position model. Lineage: Eukaryota; Fungi. The record is from RNAcentral.